UUCACGUCAUUUUAUUUCGACCCGUUUGGCGCAUUUGAACAUUGCCUUCGUCGCGAUAGCAAGCGAUGUAGCCUGCACCGAUGUCGGGCCUUUCUUUGACCCAUGUUGCCGUUUUGCCAUACGUCGGUGCGUGUGGUUGCGUUCAAGAGUGCUCACAUGAUUUCGAUAUUCCCGUGGCUCGUGGUUAGAACAACGCUGGAACGGAUAGCUGGGUCAAGCUACGUUUCCCCUCAGACGAGAGGACUUCCCCGUCGCUCAUGGUUCGAAGAACAACGGGGGGACGAACAGCCGGGCCAAGUUACGCUUCCCAAGAACAAGGUGAGCGCAAUUCUU
Molecule: long non-coding RNA, 333 nt
Filed under: Dermacentor andersoni
Lineage: Eukaryota; Metazoa; Arthropoda; Arachnida; Ixodida; Ixodidae
Description: uncharacterized LOC126539549
Source: RNAcentral